RNAcentral lists this ribosomal RNA (337 nucleotides) under uncultured bacterium. RNAcentral describes it as "bacterial SSU rRNA". It matches the Rfam family "Bacterial small subunit ribosomal RNA", at positions 28 to 334 of the family's 1533-position model. The record is from RNAcentral.
GAUGAACGCUGGCGGCGUGCUUAACACAUGCAAGUCGAACGGAGUUCUGAUGUGUGAAGUGAAGUAGCUUGCUACGGAGUGGAACUUUUCAGAACUUAGUGGCGGACGGGUGAGUAACGCGUGGGUAACCUGCCUCAUACAGGGGGAUAACAGUUAGAAAUGACUGCUAACACCGCAUAACAUGGCGAGACCGCAUGACCUUGCCAUCAAAAAUUUAUUGGUAUGAGAUGGGCCCGCGUCUGAUUAGCUAGUUGGUGGGGUAAUAGCCUACCAAGGCGACGAUCAGUAGCCGGCUUGAGAGAGCGACCGGCCACAUUGGGACUGAGACACGGCCCAA